Nerophis ophidion (straightnose pipefish) is the source of this 1309-nucleotide long non-coding RNA. RefSeq lists it as uncharacterized. The record is from RefSeq and is a predicted model, not a curated record. Lineage: Eukaryota; Metazoa; Chordata; Actinopteri; Syngnathiformes; Syngnathidae. The transcript is spliced from 2 exons.
AAGCGUAGGAUAAAAGUAUUAUAGUCCGAAAUUGACGGUACGUUUAACAGCCUUUUCUUCUUUUUUGGGUUUGGUUCCUUUCGAUGUCUGAUCCAAACCACCAGUUGUAUCUUCUUUAACACAAAAAUGACUUGUUGACAUACAUGAAGCAUAAAAGCUAGGAAACAAAUGUUCUUGUUUGUUUGCAGUCCUGAGCAGGAAGUCCAGAAGAUCUUCAAAUCCAAACACCCAAUGGACACUGAGGUCACCAAAGCCAAGAUUAUAGGUUUUGGUGUGGGUUUGCUGGAGGGCGUUGAUCCUAACCCUGCAAACUUUGUCGGAGCUGGAGUGGUCCACACUAAAUGUUCUCAGGUGGGAUGCACUGCUACGCUCUUGGAAGCCCAUCACACUAGUGAUAUAUAUAAAUAUAUAUUUUACCUUUUUGCACUUUUGAAGGGCAGUAUGACAUCACGCCGGAGACCUUUGCCAUGGUGCCGCCUUUACACUCUUCUUCUACACACACUUUGUACUGUAGCUCACUCUGGUGCCUUUGUCUCACUGAAACACUAGCAGCACAGUGCCUCACUACUUCUACCUGAAUGCACACACUAAAUAUUUCUAUUUUCACCGCCUUCACUCGCUCAUUAAAUGCUCCUCACUGCCUUAGUAGAUAUUUUUUUCCAACUGUUUGAAAAUAAAACCGUCUCCUCCUCAAGUCCAGGUCCAUCUAUUCUAUACAAUUACUGAAAUAUGUAUCAUCUUAACCAGUGGUUCUCAAUCUUUAAAAAAAAGAACCUCUAAGAACCUUCAUACUUUUUUGAUCAUAGACUUAGACAAACUUUAAUGAUCCACAAGGGAAAUUGUUCCACACAGUAGCUCAGUUACAAUGAUGGAAAGUGUAAGGAUGGAAAGGACAAUGCAGGUAUAAAUAAACUAAAUAUAGUGACAUAAAAUAUAACAUUUAUGCAAUAUUUACACAAUCUAUGUACAGUAUUUACAUCAUAUAUGUGCAGUGAGUCUUAUUCUACGUUGUGUAGUUUUUUCUUUUAAGUAAGAGACACUCCACCAUUCCGUCAUUUAUUGGCCACCUGUUUUGGAAACACGAAACACAUAAACAGGUCUGUACUUUCCUGGCGGAGUGAUACCUCAUCAGCUAAAGUCCGAUAGAAGAGGAAAUAAACAACAUUCAUUCAUACAAAAAUAUUAAUUUAAAUUACAUUAACAACAAGGUUUUAUCACACACAAAAAAUAAUAAUACACAAAUCCACAUACCUGUUUUGGAAACGCGAAACACUUUAACAGGUCUCUACUUUUCUGGCGGAGUGAUACC